GCUGAAAUAGCUCAGUUGGAAGGGCGUUAGAGUGAAGAUCUAAAGGUCCCUGGUUCAAUCCAAGGUUUAGGCA
Transfer RNA from Lepisosteus oculatus (spotted gar), 73 nucleotides. It matches the Rfam family "tRNA". From Rfam's summary of the family: Transfer RNA (tRNA) molecules are approximately 80 nucleotides in length. Their secondary structure includes four short double-helical elements and three loops (D, anti-codon, and T loops). The record is from Rfam. NCBI's taxonomy places the organism in Eukaryota, Metazoa, Chordata, Actinopteri, Semionotiformes, Lepisosteidae.